RNAcentral lists this ribosomal RNA (441 nucleotides) under uncultured bacterium. RNAcentral describes it as "partial 16S ribosomal RNA". It matches the Rfam family "Bacterial small subunit ribosomal RNA", at positions 338 to 795 of the family's 1533-position model. The record is from RNAcentral.
CCUACGGGCGGCAGCAGUGGGGAAUAUUGCACAAUGGGGGAAACCCUGAUGCAGCAACGCCGCGUGAGUGAAGAAGUAUUUCGGUAUGUAAAGCUCUAUCAGUAGGGAAGAAGAACGACGGUACCUAACUAAGAAGCCCCGGCUAACUACGUGCCAGCAGCCGCGGUAAUACGUAGGGGGCAAGCGUUAUCCGGAUUUACUGGGUGUAAAGGGAGCGUAGACGGCUGUGCAAGUCUGAAGUGAAAGCCCGUGGCUCAACCGCGGAACUGCUUUGGAAACUGUAUAGCUGGAGUACGGGAGAGGCAGGCGGAAUUCCUAGUGUAGCGGUGAAAUGCGUAGAUAUUAGGAGGAACACCAGUGGCGAAGGCGGCCUGCUGGACAGAAACUGACGUUGAGGCUCGAAAGCGUGGGGAGCAAACAGGAUUAGAUACCCGAGUAGUC